Gymnogyps californianus (California condor) is the source of this 2643-nucleotide long non-coding RNA. RefSeq lists it as uncharacterized. Lineage: Eukaryota; Metazoa; Chordata; Aves; Accipitriformes; Cathartidae. The record is from RefSeq and is a predicted model, not a curated record. The transcript has 4 exons.
AAUUGCCAAUGACUUUGGUGAAAAAUGGCUUUCCCAAGUGUUUGGAGCAGAUGAAUGAACCCGAAACUGCUUCUUGUGAUAAAUCCGGAUGAUCUGUCUUGCCUGGGAAGCAAGAAAAUGUCCCAGUCUGAUGCUUUUGCUGAUUUUCUGCUUAACUUGCGGUGAACUGCCAUGGCUGCGAGCCCACGUUAAGGACACGAGAAAAUCUUGAUCAACCAAGGUGAUGAACGCAAGAUCCAAGGUUAUUUCUGCCUCCCAAGAGGAGAAGUCCUGUUUCCUUUGGCAGGGAAGGCGGUGCCUCCUCUUACGGACUGUCCUCGUGAAAGCAGCAAGUGUGAUCUACUGCCGCUAUAGUGGGCAAUAUAAAGAAUGAAUGGGAUCAGUCACCGGGACAAUUUCUGUGUUGGGGUGCCAGCAGUGAUGCCGAGAUGCUCUCUGAUGUCAAGGCCACGUGCUGCACCUGGGUGAACAUGAACCUGAAUUGAACCGAACAAAGCCUUCUGGCUCCAGGGGCUGGAGGUGGCUAGGACCCUGAGCUGUCCAGGGGAAAUACCUGAUUCUGGGAUUGUCUAAAAUCAAGCUGUAACUGCAUCCACCUGGGGACAUGUAACAUUGCUGAAGGAGAAGCAUUAAACCUGGAAACAAGUUGCCAGCCUGACAGUGGCUCAUACUGAGCACAGCCGUGAGCGGCUGACACUGCCACCGCACAGCCCCAGCCAGCAGCGCAGGAAGCAACAGUGUGAAUAGCCACCUGAGCAGGAGCACCAGCAGCUGCCACGAGCGGGCAGAGACACGAACCCGAGCGGUUAGCUUCAGGCACAGGAUCUGUAACGGAGCCUCCUGCAACCACGCCGCAGCACCCUCACCUUCACACCCAACCGCCUGCGUGUUUCCAGUUGCAUCGCUAACAGCACAGACGGAUCCGCAGCGCAACGUGUGCCCCACUGCACGCUUUUGUGCCAGCGUUAUUGCUGUGGACAAUUACCUGUGGGACCAAGAAAAAGCACCAGGAGGUCCAGGUCACCAGCAAUGUUCCCACCAGUGAGUUUGAGGAAUUGGGGUUUCUGACAGCACGGGCACCUCCUCAGCCAAAGCCCGGCAUCUUGACGGCAAUGGGCAGCGAAGCCGCAUCCCCUGGCCUCGCUGGCCGAUGGAUUCCCAACAAGUGAGAGAAACGCAGCCAGGAGCAGGCGCUGGGCCUCAGCCAGAGCCCAAGGCCAGCGGCCACCCCAUCAUGGCUACCGACCCCCACAGUUGGAAAGAGAUUGUCCAGAAUGGAAAUCCUUCUCAUUCAAACAAGUUGCAUUUUAUGAACUUCCCAUCAGAGUGGAUCUUCAGAGAUGAUGUACUUGGCUGUAGAAGUCACCAGCAGCAAGACACUUCACGCUCUUUUUAAAAAAAAAACAACAAACCCAAGAAAAAGUUUACUUCCUUGCAAAGACACAAGCACAGCACGUGUUCCAAAAGUCGAUGGCGUCACUGGUCUCUGGGUUCUCAGCUGUAGCAGUUGACAUAUCGUAAAACUGCGUUCCUCUGCAUGCUUCAGUACAGCCAAAAGCAUUAGUAAAUCUGCUAGUCCUUUUUGGUAGCCGUAUGUAUUGCAGCACCGGGAAUUUGGGUUUUUUUUCUUUUUUUUCCCCCGAAAGUAAAACCAUAUGGGGGAUCUCUUAUCUCACUGGUUUUUCUGUCAUAAAUGAAACUUUAAAAAAAACUUAAAUUGUAUAACUCGCAAAUUGACUUGCAUCGUUUAAACCGUAACUGCCAAAUAGCUAUAGCAUACAAUUUAUUAGGUGUAUUUAAAAGCAGUUAGGUAUUUGUUCUCAAUCUUUAAAAAGACAGGCAAAUGAAUGUUACGGGGUUUUUUUCCCAGUAUUUUGAUGGAGCGCUCUGAAGUACUUUAUUUCUGUCUGGCUUUCAGUGGCGCAUUUCCCUGGCAGUUCGGUAGCAUCUCUCUUGGGCAGUGCAGCUGGCCAGAUGUCCAUCCUAAUUGGGUAACAUACAAAAAAAACCCCUAGUCAACUUACAGCUGUGUAUUUUGGAGAUAGAUAAUUUAAUGGUACCAAUUAACAGCUGUGCAAGUUAAAUUAAUGCAAAAGGCAACUCAAAUACUUGUGUAAGGUUUUUAUUGGGUAUAUAUAAACAUAUGCACACCUCGUUAGUAUAAAGUGUGUUACUGAGAUUUGUUCUUCAUUUUUAGUUUUACUCUUUAAAGUUUUAUGCUUCACUUUGAGCUUUAUUGACCAAGCAAGCAAGAUGUGCAGCAGCAGCGCAAGGGCUGUAGCUGUUGGGAUGGAUCUGUAAGCGUAGAUUCUGAUGAUGGUACAACCUGGUCCUGCAGCCUCACAGGGUUCUCUCCCUGCAGCAGUGCUGUAAGGAAGGGAUGAGACAUUUUCCAGCAGCAGCAAGAGGAUUUACUUUUAUGCUGAGAAUGUGUUCAAAAUCAUAUCAGUUCGUCUUAAUACUGAUAUUAAGUGUUCACAUCACUCUGGCUUUUAAAGGAUGUUCUUGUGUUUGGAGCUGACCUGUUUACCUAGAAUCCUCCUCCAGCUCAACUGUUAUCCUAUCCCUUGUUCUGACUGAAUUCCUGUACUUCUGUGUUAUUUUUUAAUAUGCUGAAAUAUAAUUUGGGAUUUUUGUUUUUCA